GAGUUUGAUUAUGGCUCAGGAUGAACGCUAGCGGCAGGCCUAAUACAUGCAAGUCGAGGGGCAUCUCUAGUUUGCGGACUAGAAGCGACCGGCGAACGGGUGCGUAACGCGUAUGCAAUCUACCUUGUACAGGGGAAUAGCUUUCGGAAACGAGAAUUAAUACCCCAUAGUAGGAAGAUAACGCCUGUUAUCUUUCUUAAAGCUUCGGUGGUACAAGCGGAGCAUGCGUCCCAUUAGCUAGUAGGUGAGGUAACGGCUCACCUAGGCGAUGAUGGGUAGGGGUUCUGAGAGGAAGAUCCCCCACACUGGCACUGAGACACGGGCCAGACUCCUACGGGAGGCAGCAGUAGGGAAUAUCGGUCAAUGGGCGCAAGCCUGAACCAGCCAUGCCGCGUGCAGGAAGAAGGCCCGUAAGGUUGUAAACUGCUUUUAUAGGAGAACAAACCCCUCCGGCGGGAGGGUCUGAGGGUAUCCUAAGAAUAAGCACCGGCUAACUCCGUGCCAGCAGCCGCGGUAAUACGGAGGGUGCAAGCGUUGUCCGGAAUUAUUGGGUUUAAAGGGUGUGUAGGCGGCUAAUUAAGUCAGAGGUGAAAUGCUAGAGCUUAACUUUAGAACGGCCUUUGAAACUAGUUAGCUUGAGUCAAGGAGAGGUAGGGAGAAUUUAUGGUGGAGCGGUGAAAUGCAUAGAUACCAUAAGGAAUACCGAUAGCGAAGGCCCCUUACUGGCCUUUGACUGACGCUGAGACACGAAAGCGUGGGUAGCCAACAGGAUUAGAUACCCUGGUAGUCCACGCCGUAAACGAUGAUCACUCGAUGUACCUUUUUCGAAGGGUGUAUCAAAGCGAAAGCGUUAAGUGAUCCACCUGAGAAGUACGCUCGCAAGAGUAAACUCAAG
This 895-nucleotide ribosomal RNA is filed under the name uncultured Bacteroidota bacterium. RNAcentral's name for it is "bacterial SSU rRNA". It matches the Rfam family "Bacterial small subunit ribosomal RNA", at positions 9 to 905 of the family's 1533-position model. Lineage: Bacteria; Pseudomonadati; Bacteroidota. The record is from RNAcentral.